Molecule: long non-coding RNA, 1317 nt
Organism: Myzus persicae (green peach aphid)
Lineage: Eukaryota; Metazoa; Arthropoda; Insecta; Hemiptera; Aphididae
Exons: 4
Source: RefSeq, a predicted model, not a curated record
GCGCUUUUAUAGCAAUAACACCAUAUUUUCGGUAUGAAUAAAAUACGAUAAUUUCAACUGUCGAAGACAAUAAUGUUACAGAUAUCAGACAUAGAGUAACGCCUCCAAACCGUACGUAUAUAUUGUAUCAACACUUGGAUUGAUCCCCAAACCUCGUUUUGCCAGAAGCCAUUGAUGAAGUUUGAAUUGCUGUUUGCUCAUAUCGAUUUUAUCGCUCGUGUGUAAACAUAACCGAAAAGGAGUGCACUAACCUGUUCAAAUAGCAAUGAGUUAUUUGUUUAGUUGGCGCUGGGUGCCAGCCACACACGCGCAUGCAUAAUAUUAUGCAUGCCGUUAAAUAGGUAUAAAGAUGAUAUAGGUGUAUUAUACCGUGGUAUACGAAUAUUGUACUUUUUUUUCAUCCACGGGAAUGCGAUGGAAAGAACGCGAUUAUUGGUACACACAACGUAAUUAACGCGGCACUCGAUGAGUAGGAUCCAGGAGGUACUUACAUUUAUAAUAUUAUCACGCUAAUAAAUGUAUGCCACGCACGUAUGAAAAUAUAUGAUCGAUAAGACGCGACACAUUUUAUGUCACAUCCGACAACUCAAGACAAUAAGGAAACCACAUCAAGUAAUUCAUUAAUGCUGAAAUCAUGCGCACUCUCAAAAUACGGCCAAUUACAAAGGUUGCUCAACUAUACCAAGCACUUAAACUUCGCUGCAAGAGUUCAGUCAUCACCGAAAAAAAAAUUACAACACAGCCAUUGACAAAACUUCAACAAAAAUAUGUCCUUUCUUCCGCAUCAGAUAUCAUACGACUCAGCAACAAAAGCAUAGUGUAAACAUAAUGGCUCGGAUACACGGUGGCAGAACACAGCUGGAUGUAUUGAUUUUUUGACGGGUUGAAAAAAAAUCAAGUCCAUGACACGUACUGUGUAGUACUUGAGUUGUGCCUUAUGUUGAAAACUUCUAUGGGUAUUUUAUUGUUUUUGUAGCCAAGUAAGUGACCUGGGUACCCCCUUUUAAGCCUGUACAGCCAAUAAAGUGUAAACCAAUGUUUAUUUAAUUGUUUCAAUUUUAAUCCUUAAAUUUGUUAGCUAAUCUUAAUAAUAUGGUUGACUUCGAUCCAAAGUCCAAAGUUUCUGACAUCGUGUACGCUUUACAAACACACAAAUGUAUAUAUAACUAUAUUUACAUUAUUAGUUAUAUUAUCGUAACGAAGUUUAAACGUGAAUGUGAUGGAACAAGUCAUCAUCAUGAUGGUAGGCCAAAGAUGUCAUUUUUUAAAAACAUGUAGUCGAAAAACUGCUAAUAAAAAUAAUUUAAGUUUAAAUAA